Molecule: small nuclear RNA, 99 nt
Organism: Microcebus murinus (gray mouse lemur)
Lineage: Eukaryota; Metazoa; Chordata; Mammalia; Primates; Cheirogaleidae
Source: Ensembl
CUCAUUUCAAUGAAAACUGUAUGAAAUCUUGAAAAGAGAAGAUUAGCAUAAUUCCUGAUCAAGGAUGACUUGAAAACUUGUGAAGCCUUCCAUUCUUUU